This 520-nucleotide ribosomal RNA is filed under the name uncultured bacterium. Its description in RNAcentral is "bacterial SSU rRNA". It matches the Rfam family "Bacterial small subunit ribosomal RNA", at positions 8 to 518 of the family's 1533-position model. The record is from RNAcentral.
AGAGUUGAUCAUGGCUCAGAACGAACGCUGGCGGCGCGUCUUAAGCAUGCAAGUCGAACGGCAAGAGGUAGCAAUACCUCCUAGAGUGGUGGACUGGUGAGUAACACGUGGGUGACAUACCCUUCAGAUGGGGAUAGCUAUUAGAAAUAGUAGAUAAUACCGAAUACGAGCACAGGGGUUAGAGAUCUGUGAGGAAAGGAGCUAAGGCUCCGCUGAAGGAAUGGCCUGCGGCCCAUUAGCUAGUUGGUGAGGUAAGAGCCCACCAAGGCGAUGAUGGGUAUCCGGCCUUAGAGGGUGAACGGACACAUUGGGACUGAGAUACGGCCCAGACUCCUACGGGAGGCAGCAGCUAAGAAUAUUCCGCAAUGGACGAAAGUCUGACGGAGCGACGCCGCGUGGAUGAAGAAGGCCGGAAGGUUGUAAAAUCCUUUUGAAACUGAAGAAUAAGCGUUGUAGGGAAUGACAGCGUGGUGACAGUAGGUUUUGAAUAAGCAACGGCUAAUUACGUGCCAGCCGCCGC